UGGGGAAUAUUGCACAAUGGGCGCAAGCCUGAUGCAGCCAUGCCGCGUGUAUGAAGAAGGCCUUCGGGUUGUAAAGUACUUUCAGCGAGGAGGAAGGCAUUGUGGUUAAUAACCACAGUGAUUGACGUUACUCGCAGAAGAAGCACCGGCUAACUCCGUGCCAGCAGCCGCGGUAAUACGGAGGGUGCAAGCGUUAAUCGGAAUUACUGGGCGUAAAGCGCACGCAGGCGGUUGAUUUAAAGUCAGAUGUGAAAAAUCCCCCGACGCA
Molecule: ribosomal RNA, 268 nt
Filed under: uncultured Enterobacteriaceae bacterium
Lineage: Bacteria; Pseudomonadati; Pseudomonadota; Gammaproteobacteria; Enterobacterales; Enterobacteriaceae
Description: partial 16S ribosomal RNA
Rfam family: Bacterial small subunit ribosomal RNA
Source: RNAcentral